RNAcentral lists this ribosomal RNA (465 nucleotides) under uncultured bacterium. RNAcentral describes it as "partial 16S ribosomal RNA". It matches the Rfam family "Bacterial small subunit ribosomal RNA", at positions 28 to 507 of the family's 1533-position model. The record is from RNAcentral.
GACGAACGCUGGCGGCGUGCUUAACACAUGCAAGUCGAACGGAAAGGCCCUGCUUGCAGGGUACUCGAGUGGCGAACGGGUGAGUAACACGUGGGUGAUCUGCCCUGCACUUCGGGAUAAGCCUGGGAAACUGGGUCUAAUACCGGAUAGGAGCCAUUUUUAGUGUGAUGGUUGGAAAGUUUUUUCGGUGUAGUAUGAGCUCGCGGCCUAUCAGCUUGUUGGUGGGGUAAUGGCCUACCAAGGCGGCGACGGGUAGCCGGCCUGAGAGGGUGGACGGCCACAUUGGGACUGAGAUACGGCCCAGACUCCUACGGGAGGCAGCAGUGGGGAAUAUUGCACAAUGGGCGCAAGCCUGAUGCAGCGACGCCGCGUGGGGGAUGACGGCCUUCGGGUUGUAAACUCCUUUCGCUAGGGACGAAGCUUUUUGUGACGGUACCUAGAUAAGAAGCACCGGCUAACUACGUG